GUGCUUACUUCAGCAGCACAUAUACUAAAAUUGGAGCAAUACAGAGAAAAUUAGCAUGGACGCUGUGCAAGGUUGACACGCAAAUUCAUGAAGCAUUCCAUAUUUUU
Molecule: small nuclear RNA, 107 nt
Organism: Gorilla gorilla gorilla (western lowland gorilla)
Lineage: Eukaryota; Metazoa; Chordata; Mammalia; Primates; Hominidae
Source: Ensembl